This 170-nucleotide small nuclear RNA is filed under the name Numida meleagris (helmeted guineafowl). RNAcentral's name for it is "U1 spliceosomal RNA (ENSNMEG00000014227.1)". It matches the Rfam family "U1 spliceosomal RNA". Rfam says of the family: U1 is a small nuclear RNA (snRNA) component of the spliceosome (involved in pre-mRNA splicing). The record is from RNAcentral. Lineage: Eukaryota; Metazoa; Chordata; Aves; Galliformes; Numididae.
ACAUUUACCUAGCAUGGGAGACACCAUGAUCAGGAAGGUGGUUUUUCCCAGGCAAGGCUCACUUACUCAUUUACAGCACUCCACGCGUGCUGACCCCUGUGAUUUCCCCAAAAGCAGGAAAUUCAAUUGCAUAACUAGUGGGAGAUGAGGGGGAAAUUUUUUUUUUUGGU